CAACAACAGAUAGUAGAAGCAACGGGGUAAAAGAAAGUGCAUGGAAGACAAUAACCACUAAAUCCAGUGCAGACGAACGCACACGAAAUUGUACAACUAAACAAAAAGAUGCUGGAAAAACCUCAAAACAAGGGCCAAAAAACAAAAAAGCAUUGUGAGGCAGGAAACGUUCCGCACCGGGGGUGGCUCUUCUGUACAUAGUCCAACUACUGAAGAUAACGCGGUUGAAUGGAUUAUCCAAAAUAUAUACGACCCUUUGCCUAAUAAUUUUGAUGAUGAUGCAAUACUGAAUGAAAAUGAUAUCUCAUCUGAUGUCCAAAUCACAAUGGAAAAGUUGCAGUCAUCCUACAUUCAGUCUGAGGUAACUGAAAAUGUUGCAGUCAGUGCAUCUGGUACGUCAACAGGAACUGUUGAUCAACUACAACCGGCACCUGCUACUUCAUCGCUGUCAAGUGUGUCUUAUAAGAAAUCACUUACAACUGCAAAAAGAAAGCAAGCAACUUGUAAAGAAAUGGAUACAAUUUUAAAAUUCGGAAAAAUUGAACAUCGUGUUAAAAUGAAAAAUUACAAGAGAACUUUAAAAUAUGGAAACUGAACAUAAUUUGAAAAUAGAAUGACUGAAAUUGAAAAUAGAAAAUGAAAAAAUAAAACAAAAAUAACUGCUGAUAUACCUUAUCAGUUAAUAAAAUUAUCUUCCACAA
This is a long non-coding RNA of Gigantopelta aegis, 701 nucleotides long. RefSeq lists it as uncharacterized. The record is from RefSeq and is a predicted model, not a curated record. Lineage: Eukaryota; Metazoa; Mollusca; Gastropoda; Neomphalida; Peltospiridae. The transcript has 2 exons.